This 387-nucleotide ribosomal RNA is filed under the name uncultured bacterium. Its description in RNAcentral is "bacterial SSU rRNA". It matches the Rfam family "Bacterial small subunit ribosomal RNA", at positions 28 to 405 of the family's 1533-position model. The record is from RNAcentral.
GAUGAACGCUAGCUACAGGCUUAACACAUGCAAGUCGCGGGGCAGCAUUUUCUUAGCUUGCUAAGGAAGAUGGCGACCGGCGCACGGGUGAGUAACGCGUAUCCAACCUUCCCUUGUCCACGGGAUAGCCCGUCGAAAGGCGGAUUAAUACCGUAUGAGGUCACAAUCAGGCAUCUAAAUGUGACGAAAGGUUUGGCGGACAAGGAUGGGGAUGCGUCCGAUUAGGUAGUCGGCGGGGUAACGGCCCACCGAGCCGUCGAUCGGUAGGGGUUCUGAGAGGAAGGUCCCCCCACAUUGGAACUGAGACACGGGUCCAAACUCCUACGGGAGCAGCAGUGAGGAAUAUUGGUCAAUGGGCGAGAGCCUGAACCAGCCAAGUAGCGUGCA